This 253-nucleotide ribosomal RNA is filed under the name uncultured prokaryote. Its description in RNAcentral is "partial 16S ribosomal RNA". It matches the Rfam family "Bacterial small subunit ribosomal RNA", at positions 525 to 777 of the family's 1533-position model. The record is from RNAcentral.
ACGAACCGUGCGAACGUUGUUCGGAUUCACUGGGCUUAAAGGGCGCGUAGGCGGAAGGUCAAGUCCGAGGUGAAAUCUUUCGGCUCAACCGGAAAAGUGCCUUGGAUACGGAUCUUCUCGAGGGAGGUAGGGGCAUGUGGAACUUCCGGUGGAGCGGUGAAAUGCGUAGAUAUCGCUUGGAACGCCAACGGUGAAAACAGGUUGCUGGGGGUGUGCUGACGCUGAGACACGAAAGCCAGGGGAGCGAACGGGA